RNAcentral lists this long non-coding RNA (2373 nucleotides) under Lactuca sativa (garden lettuce). Its description in RNAcentral is "long non-coding RNA (LSAT_LNC003687)". The record is from RNAcentral. Lineage: Eukaryota; Viridiplantae; Streptophyta; Magnoliopsida; Asterales; Asteraceae.
GGUAUUAAUAUUAAAAUUUAUUUUCUAUCAAUUAUAAAUAUAAUAUGAUUAUUAAUGCUAAACUGAUGGGUGAAAAUUUAUCAUUUGUGUUGCAGCUUGUGUGAAAAUUAUCAUCCAAAAUUGGUUAUUUGAAAGCUAAAUAAUUGGAUAAUUACAAUCUGAUUAUAUAAUAAGUAAGAUUUUGGUUUUUGUAUAUAUUGAAGAAAUACGACUACUCCUCUGAUCCAAUAAGCAUGCUAACUAUCUCCACUAUUCCCCGGAAGCAUGCAAUCAUACCAUCAGCUUGUUCCACUUGAAGUUGUCUGAAGUAAGAAAAUCCAAAAGAAGAAAUUGUAAAAAAAGGACAUUCUUAUUUAACUAAGAUAUUGCCAUUUGUCCUGUGAAAUAUAUAUAAAAUUAAAGCAGAAAGAAAUUUUUUUUCAUAGUGGAAUAACAUAAAGAUUAUGACAGAAGAUGAAAGGUGGCACCUUUAGAUCUACAGGUGUUCCAUGAAGUGAAUAUGAAAAUAGCAGACUCAAUCUGGUUUUCCAUCUAAUGAAGUAAAAAGAUAUAAACUUUAUCAUAAGCCCAAAGGUUUAAAAGAAUUAGUUAACAGGUAUUCGUUUAAUGUACCUUAUUUGGUAGACUGAAGUAUUUUUUCGUUUGGAAUCCGGAAUGGAAUCCGUCAAUGAAUCUUGUAUUCCAAAAUUACCCUUUAUCACUGAAAAAGGCUGGAAUACCGAGGAUUGCUUCUGGAACCUUCUUUCUAUAGCUUUUGGAACCUUUCUGCGACCUGUAUCAAUAUGCCACGUCCUAUUUACCAUAUAUUAUUAUAAUACUGCCACUGUUGGGAUCAACUGGCCCAAAUGUCCAAGCAUCUUAAUGAUUACUCAAGAUUGCAAAUCUAAUGACAAGCUUUACACACAGUUAAACUUCUCACUUUGGUUUCUUUCUACUUUGGAUUUUGUUUUCUUAUUUGGACAUCAUAUUACAAAUUAACACGCUUUAAUCUUUAUGCAAAGAAGUAGUUAAAGUACAUAACUAUUAGAGUUUACCUAUCAGGUUCCUCCAGUCCUUUAAUUAUCCCUAUCACAUUCUGAAUCGUUCUUAUCACUUGUUUUUCCUGCAACAUCAAGGACCAAAAACAUUAGAAACGAAAGCACAAAGACCCCAUCCAAAAAAAUACACAAAAAGAGUAACUUUACCUUCUAAGUGAGCUCUAUAAUCCCUAAACCCUGUAAAAUUGUAUAAACCGCAGCAUCUUUGUCACCCUAUCACUCCUCAUCAACCACCACUCCAUCCAUACACCUUAAAAUGUCCUCUAACCCUGCAAAAAAGUACAAAAAUAAGUAUUCAUAAAAGCUUCAUACAAAGUUUAAAUCUACAGGAAGGUCUUCAUUCCUGGAUGAAUUAGGAAAAGGAAAAAAGCUAUAAACAAUUCUAACGACAAGAAUUCUAACAUAUGAAUUGUACCUGAUGACAAAAAGUCAAGCAAAAAUGCAAAAUACAACAUUUUCACUACAUACCUUAUGCCCCCUCUACAUAAGUCUUGGAAUUUCAGUUUCAAAAUCUAGAACCAAAAAUUGAUAAUUGUAAGAAUAUGUAAACCUCCAUAACAAACUUUUACAAAAAUUGUUACCUAAAUAACGAAAAAUGAAACCCACCCAGUAAACCUAGCCACAACUCAAUAAGUCAGAAUUCCAAAAAAAAGGCUCCUUCCAAAACUAAAUCAUUAAAAAACAGAAAACAAAUUAUAGGGCAGAUAAUGAAAGUCCAAAUAGAUGAUCGACCUUUGGUAAAUCGAUAGAGAAGUGUGGAAUAGAAGAUAGGGAAUAAGCACUUAUCGAUGGAAGCCGGCUGUCAAGCCCCUUCAAAAUCUUUGAUACCUGCGAAUGAAACAAACAAAUAAAUAGGGAAAAAUCUUUGAAACCUUUAAAAUCUCAAGGUUCAAUCAGCGAGCAUAAGUUAAUCCGAUUAAGCGACACAGACCUGUAAUUCGGCGAUUGAAGCGACGGGUGCGAGUAAAGGUGUCAGUGAGGGAAAUCGCGAUUGAAGUGGGUUUCUUUGAGUCGGUCUUCUUCCGACGCUCUCUUCGAUAUGAAAUUGGCAACAAAUAAAAUCGAGAGGAGGAGAAAGAUGACGGAAUGAUGGACGAAAGAUAGUGAAACACGUACUGAGGAACUUUGGGAUCAAUUUUUUGGUCGGUUUUGUGAAGAGGAACUUUGGGAUCGAUUUUAUGGUCGAUUUUGUUAAGACAUUGUACCUAAGAGAUGAUUCCAAUGAGAAUCAUUUUCCCGUAACUGCUAGCAAUGACGGUGGAAGAUAUAUAUCGGGCGAGAAAGGCGGUGACGAACACAACAUGAACACGUUGCAGAGAUUAAAGCCAAAACCAGC